CCUACGGGUGGCAGCAGUGAGGAAUAUUUGUCAAUGGGCGCGAGCCUGAACCAGCCAAGUCGCGUGAGGGAAGACGGCCCUACGGGUUGUAAACCUCUUUUGCCGGGGAGCAACGGGCGCCACGUGUGGCGCCACUGAGAGCACCCGGAGAAAAAGCAUCGGCUAACUCCGUGUCAGCAGCCGCGGUAAUACGGAGGAUGCGAGCGUUAUCCGGAUUUAUUGGGUUUAAAGGGUGCGUAGCCGGGCUGACAAGUCAGAUGUGAAAUCCCGUGGCUCAACCACGGAACUGCAUUUGAAACUGUCGGUCUUGAGUGUCGGAGAGGCAGGCGGAAUUCCUAGUGUAGCGGUGAAAUGCGUAGAUAUUAGGAGGAACACCAGUGGCGAAGGCGGCCUGCUGGACGACAACUGACGGUGAGGCGCGAAAGCGUGGGGAGCAAACAGGAUUAGAUACCCUAGUAGUC
RNAcentral lists this ribosomal RNA (461 nucleotides) under uncultured bacterium. RNAcentral describes it as "partial 16S ribosomal RNA". It matches the Rfam family "Bacterial small subunit ribosomal RNA", at positions 338 to 795 of the family's 1533-position model. The record is from RNAcentral.